CCUACGGGUGGCAGCAGUGAGGAAUAUUGGUCAAUGGACGAGAGUCUGAACCAGCCAAGUAGCGUGAAGGAUGACUGCCCUAUGGGUUGUAAACUUCUUUUAUAUGGGAAUAAAACGUUCCACGUGUGGGAUUUUGUAUGUACCAUAUGAAUAAGGAUAGGCUAACUCCGUGCCAGCAGCCGCGGUAAUACGGAGGAUCCGAGCGUUAUCCGGAUUUAUUGGGUUUAAAGGGAGCGUAGGUGGAUUGUUAAGUCAGUUGUGAAAGUUUGCGGCUCAACCGUAAAAUUGCAGUUGAAACUGGCAGUCUUGAGUACAGGAGAGGUGGGCGGAAUUCGUGGUGUAGCGGUGAAAUGCUUAGAUAUCACGAAGAACUCCGAUUGCGAAGGCAGUUCACUGGACUGCAACUGACACUGAGGCUCGAAAGUGUGGGUAUCAAACAGGAUUAGAUACCCUUGUAGUC
RNAcentral lists this ribosomal RNA (460 nucleotides) under uncultured bacterium. Its description in RNAcentral is "partial 16S ribosomal RNA". It matches the Rfam family "Bacterial small subunit ribosomal RNA", at positions 338 to 795 of the family's 1533-position model. The record is from RNAcentral.